Molecule: long non-coding RNA, 273 nt
Filed under: Gallus gallus (chicken)
Lineage: Eukaryota; Metazoa; Chordata; Aves; Galliformes; Phasianidae
Source: RNAcentral
CUGCAAUGAGGUCACCCUGCAGCCUUCUCUUCUCCAGGCUCAACAAGCCCAGCUCCCUCAGCCUGUCUUUGUAGGGGAGGUGCUGCAGCCCUCUGAGCAUCUCUGUGUCCUCCUCUGGACCCUCUCCAACAGCUCCCUGCCUUUCCUGUAUUGGGGGCCCCACCCCUGGAGGCAGUGCUGCAGAUGGGGCCCCAUAAGGGCAGAGCAGAGAGGGACAAUCCCCUCCCUGUCCCUGCUGGCCACCCCUCUGCUGAUGGAGGCCAGGAUCCCAUU